CACACCGCCCGUCGCUACUACCGAUUGAAUGGCUCAGUGAGGCUUUCGGACUGGCCCAGAGGAGUCGGCAACGACACCUCAGGGCCGGAAAGUUAUCCAAACUCGGUCAUUUAGAGGAAGUAAAAGUCGUAACAAGGUCUCCGUUGGUGAACCAGCGGAGGGAUCAUUAUAGAGUUAGCAAACUCCUAAACCUAUGUGAACUUACUUACGUUGCCUCGGCAGGAGAAGCCUACCCGGUAAGCUACCCGGGACUUACCCUAUAGUUGCUCUCCCGGUAGCUACCCGGGAGCUACCCGGUAGUUAAUGGCGGACCUGUCGAAGGACAAACCUACAACUCCUGUUUUAAUCGUGGCAAUCUGAGUAACAAACUUAAUAAGCUAAAACUUUCAACAACGGAUCUCUUGGUUCUGGCAUCGAUGAAGAACGCAGCGAAAUGCGAUAAGUAAUGUGAAUUGCAGAAUUCAGUGAAUCAUCGAAUCUUUGAACGCACAUUGCGCCCAUUAGUAUUCUAGUGGGCAUGCCUGUUCGAGCGUCAUUUCGACCAUUAAGCCUUAGUUGCUUAGCGUUGGGGGCUUGUCUUUUCAACUCCUCAAAGUCAGUGGUAGGGCUCGUGUCGCCUCAAAGUGUAGUAAUUAUAUCCUCACUUGUAGAUGGCAGACGGGUAACGGCCAUAGGAAAUCCUUCCUUUUUAUUAUCUAGUGGUUGACCUCGGAUCAGGUAGGAAUACCCGCUGAACUUAAGCAUAUCAAUAAGCGGAGGAAAAGAAACCAACAGGGAUUGCCCUAGUAACGGCGAGUGAAGCGGCAACAGCUCAAAUUUGAAAUCUGACCCUCGGGUCCGAGUUGUAAUUUGUAGAGGAUGCUUUUGGUGCGGCGCCUUCCGAGUUCCCUGGAACGGGACGCCAUAGAGGGUGAGAGCCCCGUACGGUUGGAUGCCUAGCCUCUGUAAAGCUCCUUCGACGAGUCGAGUAGUUUGGGAAUGCUGCUCUAAAUGGGAGGUAAAUUUCUUCUAAAGCUAAAUACCGGCCAGAGACCGAUAGCGCACAAGUAGAGUGAUCGAAAGAUGAAAAGCACUUUGAAAAGAGGGUUAAAUAGCACGUGAAAUUGUUGAAAGGGAAGCGCUCAUGACCAGACUUUUUGCCUGGCGGAUCACCCGGCGUUCUCGCCGGUGCACUUCGUCAGGCUGAGGCCAGCAUCGAUUUCUGUAAGGGGAUAAAGACUUCGGGAAAGUAGCUUCCUUCGGGGAGUGUUAUAGCUCGCUGUGUAAUACCUUUACGGGGAUCGAGGUUCGCGCUCCUGCAAGGAUGCUGGCAUAAUGGUCAUCAGCGACCCGUCUUGAAACACGGACCAAGGAGUCGAACAUUUAUGCGAGUGUUUGGGUGUUAAACCCUCACGCGUAAUGAAAGUGAACGGAGGUGAGAGCCCUCAAGGGUGCAUCAUCGACCGAUCCUGAUGUCUUCGGAUGGAUUUGAGUAAGAGCAUAACUGUUCGGACCCGAAAGAUGGUGAACUAUGCGUGGAUAGGGUGAAGCCAGAGGAAACUCUGGUGGAGGCUCGCAGCGGUUCUGACGUGCAAAUCGAUCGUCAAAUCUGCGCAUGGGGGCGAAAGACUAAUCGAACCAUUAACGGAGACGCCAGCGGUAAAUAAUUAUUUACUAGGUGGUUUAGAGGCCUCUCGCGAGAGCAGGCCUAGGUCGGAGCUUACCCGGAACCUACCCGGUAGCUACCCGGCAACUACCCUAUAGUUGCUUACCCGGGAGCUACCCUGUGGUUAGGGUAGCCCACCGACACCGCUAAAUUGCGGGGACAUCCUACAGAAGGCUCCGGGCUACCGCCGCACGCUGAAAAGCGCCUGCGGCACCAAGAGUAACGCUCUUGGGUACGGUAAUAACGCCCGGGGUAUCGGACGACCUGCAGCCAAUCCCGUCAGCCCUGGAGGGGCCCAGGGGAGAGUUCACUGACUAAACAGCGGUGGGUCCCGCGGCGGGGUGUCGCGGGGCUUAAGACAUAGUCGAUCCGGGCCCUGAAAAGGUGACCCUAAAGCAGAAUACUAGCGAG
Molecule: ribosomal RNA, 2056 nt
Filed under: Lopadostoma linospermum
Lineage: Eukaryota; Fungi; Ascomycota; Sordariomycetes; Xylariales; Xylariaceae
Description: eukaryotic LSU rRNA
Rfam family: Eukaryotic large subunit ribosomal RNA (bases 704-2056)
Source: RNAcentral